UAGGCACGCUUAAAGUUAUAACUGACAUAACUACAUCAGUUAUAACUUUAAGCGUGCCUAGG
MicroRNA precursor from Chlorocebus sabaeus (green monkey), 62 nucleotides. The record is from Ensembl. NCBI's taxonomy places the organism in Eukaryota, Metazoa, Chordata, Mammalia, Primates, Cercopithecidae.